UCCAACCCUCUGUGUACCAACCUUGUUGCUUUGGCGGGCCCGCGGUUUAACGCCGCCGCCGGCUCUCGCUGGUCAGUGCCCGCCAGAGGACCGUCAAACUCUUGUUUAAAGCAGUGUAGUCUGAGCGAAUCUUAAUAGUUAAAACUUUCAACAACGGAUCUCUUGGUUCUGGCAUCGAUGAAGAACGCAGCGAAAUGCGAUAAGUAAUGUGAAUUGCAGAAUUCAGUGAAUCAUCGAAUCUUUGAACGCACAUUGCGCCCCCUGGUAUUCCGGGGGGCAUGCCUGUUCGAGCGUCAUUUCAACCCUCAAGCUCUGCUUGGUAUUGGGCGUCGCCGGGGAGUCUCCCCGGCGUGCCUCAAAGCCAUCGGCGGUGGUGCCUUUCUCUAAGCGUGGUAGAAUUUUUAUUCGCUUCUGAGUUGGGCUUCGCCUGCCGGACAAACCGGGCCCUCGCGGCCCACCUUCUCAGGUUGACCUCGGAUCAGGUAGGGAUACCCGCUGAACUUAAGCAUAUCAAUAAGCGGA
This 522-nucleotide ribosomal RNA is filed under the name uncultured Coniosporium. Its description in RNAcentral is "eukaryotic LSU rRNA". The stretch from base 143 to 296 matches the Rfam family "5.8S ribosomal RNA". Lineage: Eukaryota; Fungi; Ascomycota. The record is from RNAcentral.